CGGGGGGGAGCGAGCGUUGUCCGGGAAUUACUGGGGCGUAAAGGGCGUGUAGGCGGUUUAAUAAGUCAGAUGUUAAAGCCCCCGGCUUAACCCGGGGGGGAUUGUCAUUUGAAACUGUUAGGCUUGAGUGCGAGAGAGGGUAGCGGAAUUCCCCAGUGUAGCGGUGAAAUGCGUAGAUAUUGGGAAGAACACCAGUAGCGAAGGCGGCUACCUGGCUCGCAACUGACGCUAAUGCGCGAAAGCGUGGGGAGCAAACAGGAUUAGAUACCCUGGUAGUCCACGCUGUAAACGAUGAGCACUAGGUGUUGGUUUGCCGCAGGCUGAUCAGUGCCGCAGUUAACGCAUUAAGUGCUCCGCCUGGGGAGUACGAUCGCAAGGUUG
This 381-nucleotide ribosomal RNA is filed under the name uncultured organism. RNAcentral describes it as "partial 16S ribosomal RNA". It matches the Rfam family "Bacterial small subunit ribosomal RNA", at positions 525 to 896 of the family's 1533-position model. The record is from RNAcentral.